Molecule: ribosomal RNA, 252 nt
Filed under: uncultured bacterium
Lineage: Bacteria
Description: partial 16S ribosomal RNA
Rfam family: Bacterial small subunit ribosomal RNA
Source: RNAcentral
UACGGAGGGUCCAAGCGUUAUCCGGAAUCAUUGGGUUUAAAGGGUCCGUAGGCGGUUUUGUAAGUCAGUGGUGAAAGCCCAUCGCUCAACGGUGGAACGGCCAUUGAUACUGCAAGACUUGAAUUAUUGGAAGUAACUAGAAUAUGUAGUGUAGCGGUGAAAUGCUUAGAGAUUACAUGGAAUACCAAUUGCGAAGGCAGGUUACUACCAAUAUAUUGACGCUGAUGGACGAAAGCGUGGGGAGCGAACAGG